AAUAAAUUUAAAAAAAUUACAUUAUAAUACAAUAAAUAAAAAAAUUGAAAUUAUUGUUUGUUGAGGACUAAGAAGAAAUUACCCACAUGUAUUUGAAUUACAUGUCGAAAACAAAUAUUUACUUCCCUAAAACUUGAAUGGACCUACAUGUUCAGUAGUUAGACCACAUUAUGCGUCAAAAAAAAAUCCAGAAACGCUAAGAACAGGUUUCGAAUGGGCACCUCAAAGAUCACAUAUAGUGGUAAACCCAGAAAAAGAUGGAUUCUGUUUGUGUAAUAUGUAUAAGGAGGAUUUGGAAGGGUUGGGUAUAGUAAAUUGGAAAUUAAGUAGUAUGAUAUACGGACGGUGGCCAGAGAGUAAAGAGUAGAAGAAGA
Non-coding RNA from Cinara cedri, 374 nucleotides. The record is from the annotation of a GenBank genome assembly. NCBI's taxonomy places the organism in Eukaryota, Metazoa, Arthropoda, Insecta, Hemiptera, Aphididae.